CAACUACUCCCUUUCUCCCAAAUUUCUUGUCUUAGAUUUGUCUAGAUACGGGUAUCUAAUACUAAAAUGUGACUUGAUACAUCUGUAUCUAGACAAUUCUAAGACAAGAAUUUUGGGACGGAGGGAGUACUUU
This is a non-coding RNA of Triticum aestivum (bread wheat), 133 nucleotides long. The record is from Rfam. Lineage: Eukaryota; Viridiplantae; Streptophyta; Magnoliopsida; Poales; Poaceae.